Long non-coding RNA from Oreochromis niloticus (Nile tilapia), 461 nucleotides. RefSeq lists it as uncharacterized. The transcript has 4 exons. The record is from RefSeq and is a predicted model, not a curated record. Lineage: Eukaryota; Metazoa; Chordata; Actinopteri; Cichliformes; Cichlidae.
CUCAGAAUGACAUGGAAGCCAGAGGGCACUGUCUACCAUUCGGAUCUCCACUCUGUAGCCCAGAAUGGGACUUCCUCCAUCAUGCAAAGGUUUGCUGCUUCUUCAAAGAGAAAGCUCUAUGCUGUUUGGCUUCCAAAAAGCAGAAGCAGGAGCAGAUGGCGACGACCGCUCUCGAAUGAUACAACCUCAGCAUUAGGGGAUUCUUUCAGUGGUUUGCCAUCAAGGAGCCACUGGCAGUUUUUGCUCUCAGGACGAGACAGGGCACACUCAAAGAGCGCUUCGCCUCCAUCAAAAGUCUCCACAUUCUCCAGGCCCUGAACAAUGACGUUUUUGUAGGUAGAAGCAGAGAAGAUCCCCUAAAGCCUGGUGCUCUUUCCAUGUGGAGGGAAGCUCACCUUCCACAUGAAGUGAAGCGACCACGCAGGUCCCCUCUGCCUCACAGGAGUACGUGCCCCUGUCCU